UACGUAGGGUGCGAGCGUUGUCCGGAAUUACUGGGCGUAAAGAGCUCGUAGGUGGUUUGUCGCGUCGUCUGUGAAAUUCCGGGGAUUAACUUCGGGCGUGCAGGCGAUACGGGCAAUACUUGAGUGCUGUAGGGGAGACUGGAAUUCCUGGUGUAGCGGUGGAAUGCGCAGAUAUCAGGAGGAACACCGAUGGCGAAGGCAGGUCUCUGGGCAGUAACUGACGCUGAGGAGCGAAAGCAUGGGUAGCGAACAGGAUUAGA
This 260-nucleotide ribosomal RNA is filed under the name uncultured prokaryote. Its description in RNAcentral is "partial 16S ribosomal RNA". It matches the Rfam family "Bacterial small subunit ribosomal RNA", at positions 524 to 782 of the family's 1533-position model. The record is from RNAcentral.